UGAUCUGCUCUGGGUAAGUCGGGGCCUAAGCACAGGUCGCAAGACGUAAGCGAUGGAUAACAGGUUUAGAUUCCUGUACCACGCAUUAUCAGAACUGUAGGGACGCAUGUGGAAAGCACGAGCCGGGAAUGGAAAAACCGGUACAAGCGGGGUAGGUGUACAAUAGGCAAAUCCGUUGUAUAAUCCGAAGACGUGAUGUGGAGCGAAAUAAAGUAGCAAAGCGUGUGAGCCAUGUGCCGAGAAAAGCUGCUAUUGUGUAAUGCGUGCCCGUACCGUAAACCGACACAGGUGGAUGAGGAGAGAAUCCUAAGGCCGACGGAAGAAGCAUUGUUAAGGAAUUCGGCAAAAUGACCCCGUAACUUCGGGAGAAGGGGUGCCUGCGAGAGCAGGCCGCAGAGAAUAGGCUCAAGCAACUGUUUAGCAAAAACACAGGUCUAUGCGAAACCGAAAGGUGAAGUAUAUGGGCUGACGCCUGCCCGGUGCUGGAAGGUUAAGAGGAGAGGUUAGCUUCGGCGAAGCUUUGAAUUUAAGCCCCAGUAAACGGCGGCCGUAACUAUAACGGUCCUAAGGUAGCGAAAUUCCUUGUCGGGUAAGUUCCGACCCGCACGAAAGGCGUAAUGAUUUGAGCACUGUCUCGACAAUGCAUCCGGUGAAAUUGAAGUACCAGUGAAGAUGCUGGUUACCCGCGCCAGGACGGAAAGACCCCAUGGAGCUUUACUCCAGUUUGAUACUGGGAUUCGGUACUGCAUGUACAGGAUAGGUGGGAGACGGAGAAGGAUGGACGCCAGUCUGUCCGGAGUCGCUGUUGGGAUACCACCCCUGUAGUACUGGGUUUCUAACCAGUUGCCAUGAACUGGCAAUGGGACAAUGUCAGGCGGGGAGUUUGACUGGGGCGGUCGCCUCCGAAAGGGUAUCGGAGGCGCUCAAAGGUUCCCUCAGAAUGGUUGGAAACCAUUUGAAGAGUGCAAAGGCAGAAGGGAGCUUGACUGCGACACCGACGGGUGGAGCAGGUACGAAAGUAGGACUUAGUGAUCCGGUGGUAUAAAGUGGGAUUGCCAUCGCUCAACGGAUAAAAGCUACCCUGGGGAUAACAGGCUUAUCACUCCCAAGAGUUCACAUCGACGGAGUGGUUUGGCACCUCGAUGUCGGCUCAUCGCAUCCUGGGGCUGUAGCAGGUCCCAAGGGUUGGGCUGUUCGCCCAUUAAAGCGGUACGCGAGCUGGGUUCAGAACGUCGUGAGACAGUUCGGUCCCUAUCCGGCGCGGGCGGAGGAUAUUUGAGAGGAGCUGUCCUUAGUACGAGAGGACCGGGAUGGACGGACCACUGGUGUAUCUGUUGUCGACCAACGGCAUGGCAGAGUAGCCAAGUCUGGAAGGGAUAAACGCUGAAGGCAUCUAAGCGUGAAGCCCCCCUCAAGAUGAGAUAUCCCUCCUUCGGGAGUAAGACCCCUUGAAGACUACAAGGUAGAUAGGGCAGAGGUGGAAGCAUGGCAACAUGUGGAGCUGACUGUUACUAAUAGGUCGAGGGCUUAAUCUG
Molecule: ribosomal RNA, 1535 nt
Filed under: Agathobacter rectalis
Lineage: Bacteria; Bacillati; Bacillota; Clostridia; Lachnospirales; Lachnospiraceae
Description: partial 23S ribosomal RNA
Rfam family: Bacterial large subunit ribosomal RNA
Source: RNAcentral